Molecule: ribosomal RNA, 467 nt
Filed under: uncultured bacterium
Lineage: Bacteria
Description: partial 16S ribosomal RNA
Rfam family: Bacterial small subunit ribosomal RNA
Source: RNAcentral
GAUGAACGCUGGCGGCGUGCUUAACACAUGCAAGUCGAACGGAAAGGCCCAAGCUUGCUUGGGUACUCGAGUGGCGAACGGGUGAGUAACACGUGGGUGAUCUGCCCUGCACUUCGGGAUAAGCCUGGGAAACUGGGUCUAAUACCGGAUAGGACCACUUCUUGGAUGUUGUGGUGGAAAGUUUUUCGGUGUGGGAUGAGCUCGCGGCCUAUCAGCUUGUUGGUGGGGUAAUGGCCUACCAAGGCGUCGACGGGUAGCCGGCCUGAGAGGGUGUACGGCCACAUUGGGACUGAGAUACGGCCCAGACUCCGACGGGAGGCAGCAGGGGGGAAUAUUGCACAAUGGGCGCAAGCCUGAUGCAGCGACGCCGCGUGGGGGAUGACGGCCUUCGGGUUGUAAACUCCUUUCGCUAGGGACGAAGCUUAUUUUGUAACGGUACCUGGAGAAGAAGCACCGGCUAACUACGG